AGCUCGUCUGCGUGCCCCGGGUCAUCCCAAAGGUCAUCCCAAAGGUCAUCCCAAAGGUCACGUUAUUCCACCCAACUGGGUGGAGGGGCAGCAGCGGGUUCUAGAUGCUCCCCUCAUCCGCGCGUUGUUACGGGAAGUCCCGUGUUUGUUUGACUCAUCCACCCACCCGACCUCCACCCGGUGGCCUCCACGCCCGUCUUCACCAUGCCGACCUGCCGGGCGGGUGGAGGUAGUGCUACCGUGGUGCUUCUAUGCUAGAAGAGGUGUGAUGACGGACACAAUAAGAGGGGGGGGCUGAGAGAGAGAGAGAGAGAGAGAGAGAGAGAGAGAGAGCUCAUAACGAAGUGAGAGGGGAGGAAGAGGAAGAGGAAGAGGGCCCUCGGAGGAGCACCCAGCGCCUUUAAGCAGAUGUUCAGGCAGAGAAGUGAAUCCGGCGCCAUGAACGGCUCGGCGGCUCUGCUGGCUUUUCUCGUUUUAUCGAUUUCUUCAAUUUCCAGAGGAGAAAACGUCACGUCUGUUUCUGCAGGCGAUGCGACAGGUGCUCCGGACGCCUCGAGUCCGUCGCCACGCGAGACCAGCGGCCCGCCGGCGACUCAAACAGCCGCCAAUCGAUCGGACCGGGGCCCAGCGGUCUCCAUGACUCCAGAAGGACGAAAAGACGUUUCAAACAACUCGACAGAGGACACCGUCACCAGCACGGCGCCCCCGCUGACCCCCGUCAGUACCGCCGUCAGAACCGGCGUCAGAACCGGCGUCAGUACCGGCGUCAGUACCGGCGUCAGUACCAGCGUCAGUACCAGCGUUGACAGAACGCAGGGGACUGCAGGCUACGUGGUCCUCGGCUUGAUCGUCCUGGUGAUCAUCGUUCUGUCUGUGAUCCUCUACUUCCUCAGGAGAGCCUCCCAGACGUACUCGUUCGACCUCCACUCGGCUCCCGCCGGCCGUCCCAACCAACCCGUCGGCACCUUCGAGCGCGUCCACCUGAGCGACCUGGAUCGACCGCCUGCUAGCAGAGAGACCGCCGGCGACCUCUCACCUCCCGCUGUGUCCAACGGCUCCACCCGGCAGGCGGAGGAGCGGCGCUCCGACGGAGGGAGCGGUACAUCUCCAGCUGGUCCUCACGCGUUCUCACCGGUUAUCGGCGCCGUGAACGAAACCGAGCAGAACAUUUGGCCCGAAUGGUUCCUUUAAGGAGCCUCCGGUUGAGAUGAUGAGAUGAUGAGAUGUUCAGAUGUUGAGGAGAUGUUGAGAUGAUGAGGAGAUGUUGAGGAGAUGUUCAGAUGAUGAGAUGUUGAGAUGUUGAGAUGUUGAGGAGAUGUUGAGAUGUUGAGAUGUUGAGAUGUUGAGAUGAUGAGGAGAUGUUGAGAUGAUGAGGAGAUGUUGAGAUGAUGAGGAGAUGUUGAGAUGUUGAGGAGAUGUUGAGAUGAUGAGAUGGAGAGCAGAUCUCCCACGCGUAGUCACAGAGCGCUUUUUAAGCGUCCGCCGGGUCAAACCAGCAGAUCGUAGCAUAAACCUCUGGGUUCGUGGUUAAGUGUCGAUGCCGUCGUCUUGACUACCGAAACAACUUCAAAGUGCAUUGGAGUCCUCGCUCACUUCCCAUCGUCAUGGCCACCAACAGCUGGAGA
Molecule: long non-coding RNA, 1625 nt
Organism: Gasterosteus aculeatus (three-spined stickleback)
Lineage: Eukaryota; Metazoa; Chordata; Actinopteri; Perciformes; Gasterosteidae
Source: Ensembl